RNAcentral lists this unclassified non-coding RNA (487 nucleotides) under Bifidobacterium ruminantium. RNAcentral's name for it is "partial 16S-23S ribosomal RNA". The record is from RNAcentral. Lineage: Bacteria; Bacillati; Actinomycetota; Actinomycetes; Bifidobacteriales; Bifidobacteriaceae.
CCUUUCUACGGAGAAUUUCAGGCUUCCGUGUUGGAAGCCGGUGUGAGCCCCGUGCUCGUGGAAUGGUUCCACGGUCUCGCAUGGGGAUGCUGGUGUGGAAGAGAUCAUGGGCUUGGAUGGGAUUCGUUCCGUCCGGGAGUGGUGCGGAUAUGCUUUUGGGCUCCCGGACCGCCACCCCACAGUGGUUUCAUUGUGGCGCGGUUCGAUGCCCAUGCGUGGUGGCCGGCCCUGGGUGGCUGGUCGGAUCGUGUGGCGCGUGGUGGUUUGAGAACUGGAUAGUGGACGCGAGCAAUGAAGAAACGAUUGUGUUUCUUUUUGCUUAUCGCGAUUUCGCCAGACUCCUCUUUUGGAGUUUGGUUUCGAGAUCGAUCGUUUUGUGAUCAUUUUUAGUGUGAUGAUUUGUCGUCUGGCGAUCUUGCUAUCAGGAAUCCUGCGGGUGGAACGGCAGUGAAUGUUUGUUUUGCUGUUGCGCCGCUUGCAAGGGCGU